Molecule: ribosomal RNA, 492 nt
Filed under: uncultured bacterium
Lineage: Bacteria
Description: partial 16S ribosomal RNA
Rfam family: Bacterial small subunit ribosomal RNA
Source: RNAcentral
AGUGAACGCUGGCGGUAGGCCUAACACAUGCAAGUCGAACGGCAGCACAGUAAGAGCUUGCUCUUACGGGUGGCGAGUGGCGGACGGGUGAGGAAUACAUCGGAAUCUACUUUUUCGUGGGGGAUAACGUAGGGAAACUUACGCUAAUACCGCAUACGACCUACGGGUGAAAGCAGGGGAUCUUCGGACCUUGCGCGAUUGAAUGAGCCGAUGUCGGAUUAGCUAGUUGGCGGGGUAAAGGCCCACCAAGGCGACGAUCCGUAGCUGGUCUGAGAGGAUGAUCAGCCACACUGGAACUGAGACACGGUCCAGACUCCUACGGGAAGCAGCAGUGGGGAAUAUUAGACAAUGGGCGCAAGCCUGAUCCAGCCAUACCGCGUGGGUGAAGAAGGACUUCGGGUUGUAAAGCCCUUUUGUUGGGAGAGAAAAGCAGCAGGUUAAUACCCCGCUGUUCUGACGGUACCCAAAGAAUAAGCACCGGCUAACUUCGUG